This is an RNA transcript of Zea mays, 2784 nucleotides long. RefSeq lists it as uncharacterized. The record is from RefSeq and is a predicted model, not a curated record. NCBI's taxonomy places the organism in Eukaryota, Viridiplantae, Streptophyta, Magnoliopsida, Poales, Poaceae. The transcript is spliced from 2 exons.
CUUUAUUUUGGUGCUGGAAGUUGGAACAAAAACCAAUUCAUUUUUUGCACAAGAAUAGAAAUCCAGUUUGAAUAUUGUUGGAUGUAAUAGAGCGAACAAUAGAUGUGUGUGGUGCACGGACGUGGCCAACUGGCCAUGACCCCUUUCAGCAUGGUUCCCAAGAGAAAGGUUAUGGGUGGACAAGUAGAGGGAAAUAAGACCAAUCUAUUACUUGAUUUUCUAGGUCUUCGGGGCUCAUAAAUAGCUGACAUGGUUUUCUCCUCUCUCAAGUAUAGAUAGAUCAACUAAUCUCUUUAACCACCAUGUGGGGAGCCCGCUCCCCCUCGGAUCUCCUUGCCAUUGUGGACGCCAUGGUUGAAUUCAUGCCCUCCUCGCCCAGAUCCGGCCGUGGCUCGCAGGAGCGGUUCUGCUUGACGCUCGCAAUGACCGUCACAGGAACUUGUCGCUAGGGAUUUCCGUAGAACCGAGUGGAGGUUCCACCACAUUUAUCGAGGUGUAUGAAUAUAUACUGAGAUAUGAGCCAUGCACAUCUUCCUAUUCUCCAAUAGGUUUCUACAAUAAGGUUUCUGCAAUAAGUCAACAUUUAAAAUUUGUAUUUCAUCGUCUGUUCUUAUCCAUAGGGCAACCUGAUAACGUAGCAAAGUUUGAGAAUAUGCACUCGCAUGGUAUGGUCCGACCAAACAGGUGGAUUUCUUGUGCUACUUGUGCUCGCCUCACAAUCUGAACAAGGUCCUGCAGUGUGAGUAUCCUACUUCAAUCCUGAGCAUGAUUAGUUGAUUCAUUAAUUUAAUUAGUACAUGCAAUGCACUUAAAGGAGCAUUGUUCCUCAAAUGUUUUGCCAUUAUAUUCAUUUGUUAUGGAGAGAUUCAAGGUGUCUGGUUGGUAGGUACACACAAGCACAAUGACGGUCUUACAUCUUCAAAAAUGCAUUUGCUUGUUUUUAUUCUCCUACACAAAUCGUUGAAUUUGGAAAACUGAGGACCCGGUACUAUUUUUAUUACUAUGGACAUGAGGAAUUUUGGGUGGUCAGAUUAAAUAUAUCCAAUUGCUAUAAUUGUGCAGGUUAUACUUUAUUGCACUACUCGAACAACAGAUGGUAUUAUUGCAAAUUCUACAAGAAUAUAGCAUUGAGCCAUGUAGUUGUUGUAAUAUCUCUGAGCAAAUUUCACCACUAUGUAUUCCGCUUUAUCUUCAAAUAUUGUUGCUUCUAUGUCCUAUUUUCAUAUUAAUUAUAGCAUGGUUUACCCAUCUAUUAUGCUUGCAUUUCACAAUUCAACUUAAAUUUUAUGUUGCAAGCAUCCUGUUUUGCUGUUUUUGUUGACACAUGUGUGCAAAUUGAAAAACACAUGUCUUGUGUUGUGCUUCCCUGCAUUCUUUAGAACAAUGUAAUAGAUUACUAUAUCUUUUCUGUAAUAUUUCUUUAUCUGAUUUUUUAUAAUAUUUAUAUCUUACAACAAACUGGUGCAUGAAUUUGGUGAUUUUCUUUUUAAUUUUCAUGGCAAAGUACAAGCACAUAUGUAUAUUUAUGGUAUGUAUACCUCUUUAACAUUUAAAAGACAUUAACAAGAGUAUAGUCAUUGUGUAUCUCAAUGUACUUUAAUCUAACACGUUGACUCCGUAGCAACAACGAGAGGAUGGCUCCUAGCCCUUGUCAUGCUUUCAAGCGUCCCUCCGAUUGCCAUUGCCAGUGCAAUUGUUUCAAAGUUGAUGACAUGGCUCUCCACCCGAAUGCAAGCAAACUACAGUGAUGCUGGAAACGUCGUGGAGCAAACUCUUGGUGCCAUUAGGACGGUUUGUCCUACUAGAUAGCAAACACUUAUUUUUGUUUUGUCUAUUCAUUUACUAUCAUCACCAGUAACUUCCUGAUAUAUAUCCUGCUUACCUGGUUUAUCUGUCCAUGUUUAUCUGAAGGUUGUUUCAUUCAAUGGCGAGAAUCAUGCUAUAAAAAAUAUAACAUGUUCAUAAGAAAGGCGUACUGGUCUUCUCUGCAAGAAGGUGCUGUAAAUCCCCUUGGACUCGGUUUUGUGAUGGCAACCUUAAUUUCAAGUUAUGGCUUGGCUGUUUGGUAUGGAUCUAAGCUGAUAGUCGAGCGAGGUUACAAUGGUGGCAUGGUCAUUUCUGUUAUCAUGUCUGUCAUGAUCGGAGUAAUGUCCUUAGGCCAGGCAACACGAUCAGUGACAGCUUUCGCAGAAGGCCAAGGAGCAGCACAUAGAAUGUUCAAGAUAAUUGAACGCAAGCCAGAUAUUGACAUAGAUGAUAACACAGGUAUCAUAUUGGAGGAUGUCAAGGGUGAUGUUCAACUGAAGGACAUGUACUUCAACUAUCCCACCAGGCCUGAAUUCUCGUUGCAAGUACCAAGUGGAACAACAAUGGCCCUGGUUGGUGACAGCGCAGUGGGAAAUCGACCGUGAUCAGUUUGGUGGAAAGGUUCUAUGACCCACAUGCUGGAGAAGUCUUGAUUGACGGGGUCGACAUUAGAAGAAUGAAGCUUGGAUGGAUGAGAGGAAAAAAUGGUCUUGUCAACCAAGAACCAGUGCUAUUCUCAACUACAAUCAGGGAAAACAUUGCAUAUGAAAUAGAAAAGCCAACACUUGAAGAUAUCAAGAGAGCGAUAUAGCUCGCUAAUGCUGCUAUAUUCAUCGAGAAGUUACCAAAUGUACAACUCAAUCUCUACUUUUCUAAUACUUGACUGGAAAGCCUUGUCUUUUUGUAUGCAUGAUCUGUUGUCAUUGUUGUCAUGGAUUUUAGCUGUUUCUAGCUUGCUCAACGAGUGAUUUCUGCUCU